RNAcentral lists this ribosomal RNA (991 nucleotides) under Lacticaseibacillus casei. RNAcentral describes it as "bacterial SSU rRNA". It matches the Rfam family "Bacterial small subunit ribosomal RNA", at positions 60 to 1020 of the family's 1533-position model. The record is from RNAcentral. Lineage: Bacteria; Bacillati; Bacillota; Bacilli; Lactobacillales; Lactobacillaceae.
AGUCGAACGAGUUCUCGUUGAUGAUCGGUGCUUGCACCGAGAUUCAACAUGGAACGAGUGGCGGACGGGUGAGUAACACGUGGGUAACCUGCCCUUAAGUGGGGGAUAACAUUUGGAAACAGAUGCUAAUACCGCAUAGAUCCAAGAACCGCAUGGUUCUUGGCUGAAAGAUGGCGUAAGCUAUCGCUUUUGGAUGGACCCGCGGCGUAUUAGCUAGUUGGUGAGGUAAUGGCUCACCAAGGCGAUGAUACGUAGCCGAACUGAGAGGUUGAUCGGCCACAUUGGGACUGAGACACGGCCCAAACUCCUACGGGAGGCAGCAGUAGGGAAUCUUCCACAAUGGACGCAAGUCUGAUGGAGCAACGCCGCGUGAGUGAAGAAGGCUUUCGGGUCGUAAAACUCUGUUGUUGGAGAAGAAUGGUCGGCAGAGUAACUGUUGUCGGCGUGACGGUAUCCAACCAGAAAGCCACGGCUAACUACGUGCCAGCAGCCGCGGUAAUACGUAGGUGGCAAGCGUUAUCCGGAUUUAUUGGGCGUAAAGCGAGCGCAGGCGGUUUUUUAAGUCUGAUGUGAAAGCCCUCGGCUUAACCGAGGAAGCGCAUCGGAAACUGGGAAACUUGAGUGCAGAAGAGGACAGUGGAACUCCAUGUGUAGCGGUGAAAUGCGUAGAUAUAUGGAAGAACACCAGUGGCGAAGGCGGCUGUCUGGUCUGUAACUGACGCUGAGGCUCGAAAGCAUGGGUAGCGAACAGGAUUAGAUACCCUGGUAGUCCAUGCCGUAAACGAUGAAUGCUAGGUGUUGGAGGGUUUCCGCCCUUCAGUGCCGCAGCUAACGCAUUAAGCAUUCCGCCUGGGGAGUACGACCGCAAGGUUGAAACUCAAAGGAAUUGACGGGGGCCCGCACAGCGUGNGCAUGUGGUUUAAUUCGAAGCAACGCGGAGANCUUACCAGUCUUGACAUCUUUUGAUCACUGAGAGAUCANGUUUCCCCUU